CGCACAUUGCGCCCCUCGGUAGUCCGUUGGGCAUGCCUGUUCGAGCGUCAUUUAAACCUUCAAGCUCAGCUUGGUGUUGGGUGCUUGUCCUCCCCCGUGGUGGACUCACCUCAAAUGCAUUGGCGGCCGGUAUGUUGGCUUCGAGCGCAGUAGAACGCGCCUGGCGUCUUGACGUACUGGUCCUCCACGAGACUAUUCUCAUCUUGACCUCGGAUCAGGUAGGGAUACCCGCUGAACUUAA
This 241-nucleotide unclassified non-coding RNA is filed under the name Pleosporales sp. Its description in RNAcentral is "partial contains 5.8S ribosomal RNA, internal transcribed spacer 2, and large subunit ribosomal RNA". Lineage: Eukaryota; Fungi; Ascomycota; Dothideomycetes; Pleosporales. The record is from RNAcentral.